AGCGGGUGAAAAGCCCGCUCGCCGGAAGACCAAGGGUUCCUGUCCAACGUUAAUCGGGGCAGGGUGAGUCGACCCCUAAGGCGAGGCCGAAAGGCGUAGUCGAUGGGAAACGGGUUAAUAUUCCCGUACUUGGUGUUACUGCGAAGGGGGGACGGAGAAGGCUAUGUUGGCCGGGCGACGGUUGUCCCGGUUUAAGCGUGUAGGUGUGUGUUCCAGGUAAAUCCGGUUCACUUUAACACUGAGGCGUGACGACGAGGCACUACGGUGCUGAAGCAACAAAUGCCCUGCUUCCAGGAAAAGCCUCUAAGCAUCAGGUAACAUCAAAUCGUACCCCAAACCGACACAGGUGGUCAGGUAGAGAAUACCAAGGCGCUUGAGAGAACUCGGGUGAAGGAACUAGGCAAAAUGGUGCCGUAACUUCGGGAGAAGGCACGCUGACAYGUAGGUGAAGUGAUUUACUCAUGGAGCUGAAGUCAGUCGAAGAUACCAGCUGGCUGCAACUGUUUAUUAAAAACACAGCACUGUGCAAACACGAAAGUGGACGUAUACGGUGUGACGCCUGCCCGGUGCCGGAAGGUUAAUUGAUGGGGUCAGCGCAAGCGAAGCUCCUGAUCGAAGCCCCGGUAAACGGCGGCCGUAACUAUAACGGUCCUAAGGUAGCGAAAUUCCUUGUCGGGUAAGUUCCGACCUGCACGAAUGGCGUAAUGAUGGCCAGGCUGUCUCCACCCGAGACUCAGUGAAAUUGAACUCGCUGUGAAGAUGCAGUGUACCCGCGGCAAGACGGAAAGACCCCGUGAACCUUUACUAUAGCUUGACACUGAACAUUGAGCCUUGAUGUGUAGGAUAGGUGGGAGGCUUUGAAGUGUGGACGCCAGUCUGCAUGGAGCCGACCUUGAAAUACCACCCUUUAAUGUUUGAUGUUCUAACGUGGACCCGURAUCCGGGUUGCGGACAGUGUCUGGUGGGUAGUUUGACUGGGGCGGUCUCCUCCUAAAGAGUAACGGAGGAGCACGAAGGUUGGCUAAUCCUGGUCGGACAUCAGGAGGUUAGUGCAAUGGCAUAAGCCAGCUUGACUGCGAGCGUGACGGCGCGAGCAGGUGCGAAAGCAGGUCAUAGUGAUCCGGUGGUUCUGAAUGGAAGGGCCAUCGCUCAACGGAUAAAAGGUACUCCGGGGAUAACAGGCUGAUACCGCCCAAGAGUUCAUAUCGACGGCGGUGUUUGGCACCUCGAUGUCGGCUCAUCACAUCCUGGGGCUGAAGUAGGUCCCAAGGGUAUGGCUGUUCGCCAUUUAAAGUGGUACGCGAGCUGGGUUUAGAACGUCGUGAGACAGUUCGGUCCCUAUCUGCCGUGGGCGCUGGAGAACUGAGGGGGGCUGCUCCUAGUACGAGAGGACCGGAGUGGACGCAUCACUGGUGUUCGGGUUGUCAUGCCAAUGGCACUGCCCGGUAGCUAAAUGCGGAAGAGAUAAGUGCUGAAAGCAUCUAAGCACGAAACUUGCCCCGAGAUGAGUUCUCCCUGAGACUU
Molecule: ribosomal RNA, 1524 nt
Filed under: Salmonella enterica
Lineage: Bacteria; Pseudomonadati; Pseudomonadota; Gammaproteobacteria; Enterobacterales; Enterobacteriaceae
Description: partial 23S ribosomal RNA
Source: RNAcentral